AAACUAACAAGGAUUCCCCUAGUAGCGGCGAGCGAAGCGGGAAAAGCUCAAAUUUGUAAUCUGGCGCUUUCGGCGUCCGAGUUGUAAUCUCGAGAAGUGUUUUCCGCGUCAGACCGCACACAAGUCUCCUGGAACGGAGCGUCACAGUGGUGAGAACCCAGUACACGGUGCGGAUGCCUGAUGCUUUGUGAUACACUUUCGAAGAGUCGAGUUGUUUGGGAAUGCAGCUCAAAUUGGGUGGUAAAUUCCAUCUAAAGCUAAAUAUUGGC
This 269-nucleotide ribosomal RNA is filed under the name Foraminifera environmental sample. RNAcentral's name for it is "partial Eukaryotic large subunit ribosomal RNA". It matches the Rfam family "Eukaryotic large subunit ribosomal RNA", at positions 62 to 327 of the family's 3401-position model. Lineage: Eukaryota; Foraminifera. The record is from RNAcentral.